CGCGGUAAACGUGGAUCCUGCUCCAAAGCAGCCUGCCAAGGAGGGCAGGAACAUCCAGCACCUUCCCUGCUCGUCGGCGAGGCUGAUGAGCUCGCGGGGCUACCCAGAAUCUCUGUUAGGGCAUCGUUGUGCCAUGGUAUGCUGCAGAUGACGUUGGUCAACCUUCACUGUUCAGGGGAGGAUCACGAAAUGGAUGGUGCUAUUGGCAGAUGUUUUACUCGUGGCUCUCAGGUUGGUCCAGACAUCUGUAUUGCAGCAACAUCUGUUCUGUACUUUCACAACUCACGGGGAGGGACAGAGUCGUGUUGAACAACGGAGCCCAGCAAGACUCAUUUGGCAUGCCAGGAACAUGUGCAGGAUCCUUGCUUUGAGACCUCUUCGUCUUCAGAGUUAAUGGGACCACCCUGGUGCUCUCUGCUGACCCUUCCAGGAUGACACAGGAUGUAGAUGAUCUUUUUAAGGCCCUUCAACCAUAAGGGUAAUACAGUCCUAGGUAGUAAGGGUGGAGGCUACAUGAGAACACUGAGAGAACAAAAAUUCAUCCCAUGAGUCCUGAGGAGGGACUGGAGGGAUCAGCCAGCCCUUUGGCCCUGCUGGUCUACUUGUCCUUCUUUAACACCAGGCUG
Apteryx owenii (little spotted kiwi) is the source of this 626-nucleotide long non-coding RNA. Lineage: Eukaryota; Metazoa; Chordata; Aves; Apterygiformes; Apterygidae. The record is from Ensembl.